RNAcentral lists this ribosomal RNA (497 nucleotides) under uncultured bacterium. Its description in RNAcentral is "partial 16S ribosomal RNA". It matches the Rfam family "Bacterial small subunit ribosomal RNA", at positions 28 to 507 of the family's 1533-position model. The record is from RNAcentral.
GAUGAACGCUGGCGGCGUGCCUAAUACAUGCAAGUCGAGCGAACGGACGAGAAGCUUGCUUCUCUGAUGUUAGCGGCGGACGGGUGAGUAACACGUGGAUAACCUACCUAUAAGACUGGGAUAACUUCGGGAAACCGGAGCUAAUACCGGAUGAUCUUUUGAACCGCAUGGUUCAAAAGUGAAAGACGGUCUUUCUGUCACUUAUAGAUGGAUCCGCGCUGCAUUAGCUAGUUGGUAAGGUAACGGCUUACCAAGGCAACGAUGCAUAGCCGACCUGAGAGGGGGAUAGGCAACACUGGAACUGAGAAACGGUCAAGACUCCUACGGGAGGCAGCAGUAGGGAAUCUUCCGCAAUGGGCGAAAGCCUGACGGAGAAACGCCGCGUGAGUGAUGAAGGUCUUCGGAUCGUAAAACUCUGUUAUUAGGGAAGAACAUAUGUGUAAGUAACUGUGCACAUCUUGACGGUACCUAAUCAGAAAGCCACGGCUAACUACGUG